This 490-nucleotide ribosomal RNA is filed under the name uncultured bacterium. RNAcentral describes it as "partial 16S ribosomal RNA". It matches the Rfam family "Bacterial small subunit ribosomal RNA", at positions 30 to 507 of the family's 1533-position model. The record is from RNAcentral.
AUUGAACGCUGACGGCAUGCCUUACACAUGCAAGUCGAACGGCAGCAUGAUCUAGCUUGCUAGAUUGAUGGCGAGUGGCGAACGGGUGAGUAAUACAUCGGAACGUGCCCUGUAGUGGGGGAUAACUAGUCGAAAGAUUAGCUAAUACCGCAUACGACCUGAGGGUGAAAGUGGGGGACCGCAAGGCCGCAUGCUAUAGGAGCGGCCGAUGUCUGAUUAGCUAGUUGGUGAGGUAAAGGCUCACCAAGGCGACGAUCAGUAGCUGGUCUGAGAGGACGAUCAGCCACACUGGGACUGAGACACGGCCCAGACUCCUACGGGAGGCAGCAGUGGGGAAUUUUGGACAAUGGGCGAAAGCCUGAUCCAGCAAUGCCGCGUGUGUGAAGAAGGCCUUCGGGUUGUAAAGCACUUUUGUCCGGAAAGAAAUGGCUCUGGUUAAUACCUGGGGUCGAUGACGGUACCGGAAGAAUAAGGACCGGCUAACUACGUG